AGAAAACAGUUCAGCACUAAGUCACUUUGUCUAUAUGGCAAAUGUGAGAUGCAGUGUAUGGAGCGUCAAUAUUCUAGUAUGAGAAAUUAACGAUUUAAGUCCUUCUUAAAUGAGGCCAUUUACCCAUAGAGGGUGCCAGGCCCGUAUAACGUUAAUGAUUACUAGAUGAUGUUUCCAAAGAGUCGUGUUGCUUGAUAGUGCAGCACUAAGUGGGUGGUAAACUCCAUCUAAAACUAAAUAUAACCAUGAGACCGAUAGUAAACAAGUACCGUGAGGGAAAGUUGAAAAGAACUCUGAAUAGAGAGUUAAACAGUACGUGAAACUGCUUAGAGGUUAAGCCCGAUGAACCUGAAUAUCCGUUAUGGAAAAUUCAUCAUUAAAGUUGUAAUAUUUUAACAAUAUUAUAAUAAUAGUGUGCAUUUUUUCCAUAUAAGGACAUUGUAAUCUAUUAGCAUAUACCAAAUUUAUCAUAAAAUAUGGCUUAUAGUUUAUUCAAAUUAUUAUGCUUGCAUUUUAACAUAGAAUAAAUGUCAUUAAUUUGAUAAAGUGUUGAUAAAUUAAAAUUAAUACAGUGCGUUAAUUUUUCGAAAUUAUAUAAUGGCAUAAUUAUCAUCGAUUUUUGUGUUUAUUAUAUGCAUUUGUAUGAUUAA
Molecule: ribosomal RNA, 650 nt
Filed under: Drosophila tristis
Lineage: Eukaryota; Metazoa; Arthropoda; Insecta; Diptera; Drosophilidae
Description: eukaryotic LSU rRNA
Rfam family: Eukaryotic large subunit ribosomal RNA
Source: RNAcentral